RNAcentral lists this long non-coding RNA (396 nucleotides) under Pan troglodytes (chimpanzee). RNAcentral's name for it is "lncRNA (ENSPTRG00000054630.1)". The record is from RNAcentral. Lineage: Eukaryota; Metazoa; Chordata; Mammalia; Primates; Hominidae.
AUGAGAAGGGGGCAGACAAUGGGGGCUGACGGGGUGUCCAGCACACACUGUUCCCUGCACUGCACCAAAGGCCUUGCAAGCUGUGACCUCUGUUACCCCUCAUCCGUCACCUGUGAUGCUCGGAAGUCCAUAAUGGUGAGCACCCAGGCUACAUUGCAGUCCUGGUUCCAGAGAGAAAGGAGCCACCCAGGACGCCUCUCUGGGCCUUUCUCACACCUCUACACUCCUUCUGCAGUGGACGUGGAUCCAGUCACAAGGGCAACAAACUGGGUUUUAUUAUUAUUGCCAGCUCCUUACUUGGACUUCGUGAAGCACUCACUCUAGAAUGGCUGAUGAAUUGGAUUAAAAACCUGGAAAUUGUUAGAGGGAAAUCAUUGUCAGAGAGCCUGGUCACAU